Molecule: ribosomal RNA, 253 nt
Filed under: uncultured bacterium
Lineage: Bacteria
Description: partial 16S ribosomal RNA
Rfam family: Bacterial small subunit ribosomal RNA
Source: RNAcentral
UACGGAGGAUCCGAGCGUUAUCCGGAAUGAUUGGGCGUAAAGCGUCCGCAGGUGGCAGUUCAAGUCUGCUGUCAAAGACCGGGGCUUAACUUCGGAAAGGCAGUGGAAACUGAACAGCUAGAGUAUGGUAGGGGCAGAGGGAAUUCCUGGUGUAGCGGUGAAAUGCGUAGAGAUCAGGAAGAACAUCGGUGGCGAAGGCGCUCUGCUGGACCAUAACUGACACUCAGGGACGAAAGCUAGGGGAGCGAAUGGG